CGAAAUUUGCGAACAACUUCGAAAUAUUCAGAUCCAAAUUUAUUCCUAUCGAUCAAUCCUUUGUUUACGUACCGCCGCUUAUUCGGAAUUCGUGUCAUCGCAGUGCCUGUCCCUGCUUCGCGUGAUGAAAUCAUUGUGGUAGUUUUGCUUGCCAUAAAUCAGUGCACUGCUUCGAAAUACUUCAGACCCUAGCCUUAUUUAUUUUACACCUCUAAGAAGUAUCACAGAUGCCCCUUCACGCAUACAAAUAUUUUUCUUUUGUCAGCACGCGCCGACAAUUUUGUCAACACGCGCCAAAGUUCCGUAAAUUCAAAAAGGUUUUCAGUUGCGGAUGAAGGCCGUCCUUUGAGUUGGUCAACAAUGGAUACAAAAGAAAGAAGGUUGGAGGUGGCAAAGUGAAUAACAAAGGCGAUACGGGUCGAUGAUCAACGCGUUAGCUAACGCGUUAGCGAAAGAGCACUAACGCGUUGACUUCUUCGAGCCCACGCGUUGACAACGCGUUAGGUGGUUCGCUUAUCUUCGAACGGUACUGUAUCUUAAGUUUGUCAGAGACGAUCAAUUCAGGAAAAUGAUUGUAGUGGCUGCAUGUAUUUCAGCCCUGAUUUCUAUGAGUACAAGUUAAGCUUGUUUUGGUCCGGUCAUUUUGGCCUCGAAAUGGAGAACAAAACAGAUAUUUAUAUGUUCUAAACAUGGAAACACCUGGAAGACACUGGAAAUGUAGUAAAAGUAUUUUUGUGUGGGAUUUCCCACACUUAGUCAACGCCCGCGAAAUUUAUUUCUUUAUUUAUUUGUCCACGAGAGAGAAGUGCUUGUCACGUGGUUUCUAUUUGCGUUCAGUGAGCCGUGAAGACUGGAUUCCAGUCGGCGUUUUUUCAUUAUGUAUUGUACGGCGGCCAUUUCUCUUCUCAGUCGUUGGGUUUUGGAGAACUUAUUCGGAAUUUCAUGUUUGUUUCUUGGGGAUUUUUGUUUCCAAGGUGUCUAUAACAAAAGAUUUUUUCACGUAAGUCAACACGCUGAAACGCGGCUUGUGUUCAGUGCAGGUUGCACAGGAGCUUUUACGCUUUCACAAGCCAACAUUUAUCGGCUUGGACCUUCGGUGCGGGUUGUGUCAGAUUGAAAGGAGUCAUUGUACUCUCGCAAGCCAACAUUUGUCGGCUUGAAUGUAUUUGUGCGGGUUGCGCUUCAAAGAGUCUCAGGGUGUCUCAAAGUGUCUCACGAGUGUCUCAAAAUGUCUCACGAGUGUCUCAAAGUGUCACAAACUGAAAGAAACUAUUGUUUGCCUUGAACUGUCAAGAGUGUUAUCUAUUUUAAUAAACUGAGUUUCUAGUUA
Non-coding RNA from Pocillopora verrucosa, 1330 nucleotides. The record is from RefSeq and is a predicted model, not a curated record. NCBI's taxonomy places the organism in Eukaryota, Metazoa, Cnidaria, Anthozoa, Scleractinia, Pocilloporidae.